UUUGACAUGUACGGAAUUCGCCAGAGAUGGCUUAGUGCUCGAAAGAGAACCGUAACACAGGUGCUGCAUGGCUGUCGUCAGCUCGUGUCGUGAGAUGUUGGGUUAAGUCCCGCAACGAGCGCAACCCUUGUCAUUAGUUGCUACAUUCAGUUGGGCACUCUAAUGAGACUGCCGGUGACAAACCGGAGGAAGGUGGGGAUGACGUCAAGUCCUCAUGGCCCUUAUAGGUGG
RNAcentral lists this ribosomal RNA (231 nucleotides) under uncultured beta proteobacterium. RNAcentral's name for it is "partial 16S ribosomal RNA". It matches the Rfam family "Bacterial small subunit ribosomal RNA", at positions 980 to 1211 of the family's 1533-position model. The record is from RNAcentral. Lineage: Bacteria; Pseudomonadati; Pseudomonadota; Betaproteobacteria.